This 492-nucleotide ribosomal RNA is filed under the name uncultured bacterium. Its description in RNAcentral is "partial 16S ribosomal RNA". It matches the Rfam family "Bacterial small subunit ribosomal RNA", at positions 29 to 507 of the family's 1533-position model. The record is from RNAcentral.
AGUGAACGCUGGCGGUAGGCCUAACACAUGCAAGUCGAACGGCAGCACAGUAAGAGCUUGCUCUUACGGGUGGCGAGUGGCGGACGGGUGAGGAAUACAUCGGAAUCUACUUUUUCGUGGGGGAUAACGUAGGGAAACUUACGCUAAUACCGCAUACGACCCACGGGUGAAAGCAGGGGAUCUUCGGACCUUGCGCGAUUGAAUGAGCCGAUGUCGGAUUAGCUAGUUGGCGGGGUAAAGGCCCACCAAGGCGACGAUCCGUAGCUGGUCUGAGAGGAUGAUCAGCCACACUGGAACUGAGACACGGUCCAGACUCCUACGGGAGGCAGCAGUGGGGAAUAUUGGACAAUGGGCGCAAGCCUGAUCCAGCCAUACCGCGUGGGUGAAGAAGGCCUUCGGGUUGAAAAGCCCUUUUGUUGGGAAAGAAAAGCAGCAGGUUAAUACCCCGCUGUUCUGACGGUACCCAAAGAAUAAGCACCGGCUAACUUCGUG